AUGAAUGACCUCAUAACACCCAGGUGCAUCGAUCAUGCUUACAGCAGUCACGUAGCCCGAGACCGACGAGACAGAUGUGUUUUCACAGAAGGCCACAAGCUGUGCCAGAGUCAUUCACAACGUCACGGCACGCCGACGCACAGCCGGGCCUCGUCAGAUCAACGACCUGGUCCGCCGGCGCCGCAGAACCCGGUGUUCUUAAGAGUCAACAGUUAAUCUGACAAUGCAUGCUAGAUUAAAGAUAAAACCAGCCGUCUAGAUCAGUGCAUUGGGGAGGCGGGGCUGGUAGUGGCAGAUCACGUCGACGUGCGGCCUGGAGAUUGGAGAUUAUACGACACCAAGAAUGGAGGUUGGGUGUGAUUGAGGUAUGUUCUGGUCUAUGGAGGUAGAGAGCUGUCAUGUUUCUCCUCCAUUCUCCCACACCUGAGGCACAUUGGAAGCACAUUAAAGUACAUCUGCUUACCCAGCACUAUUUCCAGCCAUCAGUCCAUCACGUUGGAUAUAUCCUUAUGUUGGGAUGUCCAAGGAAGCUCCUCAGUCAACAAGACACCGACGCCCUAAG
Gadus chalcogrammus (walleye pollock) is the source of this 562-nucleotide long non-coding RNA. RefSeq lists it as uncharacterized. Lineage: Eukaryota; Metazoa; Chordata; Actinopteri; Gadiformes; Gadidae. The transcript is spliced from 3 exons. The record is from RefSeq and is a predicted model, not a curated record.